CCGAAAGGUAGGAGUGCCCGCAAGGGAGCGCGGAGACAGGUGGUGCAUGGCUGUCGUCAGCUCGUGUCGUGAGAUGUUGGGUUAAGUCCCGCAACGAGCGCAACCCUCACCCCUUGUUGCCAUCAGGUAAUGCUGGGGACUCUAGGGGAACUGCCCCGGUCAACGGGGAGGAAGGCGGGGAUGACGUCAAGUCAUCGUGCCCCUUACGCCCUGGGCUACACACGUGCUACAAUGGCCGGUACGAAGGGAUGCGAGGCCGCGAGGCGAAGCCAAACCCAAAAAGCCGGUCUAAGUUCAGAUUGGAGUCUGCAACCCGACUCCAUGAAGGAGGAAUCGCUAGUAAUCGCCCAUCAGCACGGGGCGGUGAAUACGUUCCCGGGCCUUGUACACACCGCCCGUCACACCACGAAAGUCAG
Molecule: ribosomal RNA, 416 nt
Filed under: uncultured Methylomirabilota bacterium
Lineage: Bacteria; Methylomirabilota (SeqCode)
Description: bacterial SSU rRNA
Rfam family: Bacterial small subunit ribosomal RNA
Source: RNAcentral